This 232-nucleotide unclassified non-coding RNA is filed under the name plant metagenome. RNAcentral's name for it is "partial contains small subunit ribosomal RNA, internal transcribed spacer 1, and 5.8S ribosomal RNA". The record is from RNAcentral.
GUCUCCGUUGGUGAACCAGCGGAGGGAUCAUGACAGAGUUGCAAAACUCCCAAACCAUUGUGAACGUUACCUAUCCCGUUGCUUCGGCGGGCGGCCCGGGCCCCGCGCCCGGCGCCCCCCGGCCCCCCGUGGGCGCCCGCCGGAGGUAAACCAAACCCUUGAAUUGCAUGGCCUCUCUGAGUCUUCUGUACUGAAUAAGUCAAAACUUUCAACAACGGAUCUCUUGGUUCUG